This 444-nucleotide ribosomal RNA is filed under the name uncultured Sphingobacteriales bacterium. RNAcentral describes it as "bacterial SSU rRNA". It matches the Rfam family "Bacterial small subunit ribosomal RNA", at positions 936 to 1382 of the family's 1533-position model. The record is from RNAcentral. Lineage: Bacteria; Pseudomonadati; Bacteroidota; Sphingobacteriia; Sphingobacteriales.
AGCAUGUGGUUAAUCGAUGAUACGCGAGGAACCUUACCUGGGCUCGAACGUAAGAUGACUGUAGGUGAAAGCUUACAUCUCUUCGGAGCAUUUUACGAGGUGCUGCAUGGUUGUCGUCAGCUCGUGCCGUGAGGUGUCGGGUUAAGUCCCAUAACGAGCGCAACCCCUACCUUUAGUUGCCAUCAGGUAAUGCUGGGGACUCUAAAGGAACUGCCUACGCAAGUAGCGAGGAAGGCGGGGAUGACGUCAAAUCAGCACGGCCCUUACGUCCAGGGCUACACACGUGCUACAAUGGCCGAUACAGAGGGCAGCUACCUGGUGACAGGAUGCAAAUCUCCAAAGUCGGUCUCAGUUCGGAUCGGAGUCUGCAACCCGACUCCGUGAAGUUGGAUUCGCUAGUAAUCGCGCAUCAGCCAUGGCGCGGUGAAUACGUUCCCGGGCCUU